This 109-nucleotide ribosomal RNA is filed under the name Scophthalmus maximus (turbot). The record is from RNAcentral. Lineage: Eukaryota; Metazoa; Chordata; Actinopteri; Pleuronectiformes; Scophthalmidae.
GCUUACGGCCACACUGCCUGGUUCACGCCUGAUCUCGGAAGCUAAGAUAGGUUGGGCCUGGUUAGUACUUGGUUGGGAGACCGCCUGGGAAUACCAGGUGCUGCAAGCU